RNAcentral lists this ribosomal RNA (599 nucleotides) under uncultured fungus. Its description in RNAcentral is "eukaryotic LSU rRNA". The stretch from base 199 to 352 matches the Rfam family "5.8S ribosomal RNA". Lineage: Eukaryota; Fungi. The record is from RNAcentral.
UCCGUAGGUGAACCUGCGGAGGGAUCAUUACCGAGUUCAUGCCCUUACGGGUAGAUCUCCCACCCUAUGUUAUAUUACCUUUGUUGCUUUGGCAGGCCGUCAGGCUUCGGUCAGGCUAUCGGCUCCGGCUGGUAAGCGCCUGCCAGAGGACCCCAAACUCUGAAUAUUAGUGUUGUCUGAGUACUAUAAAAUAGUUAAAACUUUCAACAACGGAUCUCUUGGUUCUGGCAUCGAUGAAGAACGCAGCGAAAUGCGAUAAGUAAUGUGAAUUGCAGAAUUCAGUGAAUCAUCGAAUCUUUGAACGCACAUUGCGCCCCUUGGCAUUCCGAGGGGCAUGCCUGUUCGAGCGUCAUUACAACCCUCAAGCACUGCUUGGUAUUGGGCUCCGCUGGUUUCAGCGGGCCUUAAAAUCAGUGGCAGCGCCGUCUGAGCUCUGAGCGUAGUAAAUAUCCUCGCUAUAGAGACCAGGUAGCUCUCGUCAUCAACCCCCAACUUUCUAAGUUUGACCUCGGAUCAGGUAGGGAUACCCGCUGAACUUAAGCAUAUCAAUAAGGCGGGAGGGGAAGGUCGGACUGGCCAAGGGCACACAGGGGGGGAUA